RNAcentral lists this long non-coding RNA (266 nucleotides) under Lathyrus oleraceus (garden pea). Its description in RNAcentral is "Pisum sativum (pea) long non-coding RNA (PSAT_LNC024606)". Lineage: Eukaryota; Viridiplantae; Streptophyta; Magnoliopsida; Fabales; Fabaceae. The record is from RNAcentral.
UUGAUCAGUGCAUUUUGAUGCAUAUUCUUCUACUAUUUUACUUAGGCAACUCUAUAGUUUAUUCUAUUAUUUUUACUAUUUUAGUGUGUUUUUAUAUUUAAUUUAAUUUUUUGUUUUAUUUUAUUUUCGUAUUUUAUUUUCAGCAUAAAUAGUUAUUUGAUAUCUCAUUAUUAUGCAGGUCAUAACUUGAGCUACGAGGAUCAAAUUGAUGUGUUCUAAUAUGUGUUGGAAAGCUGGGAGGAUAAGAUAAAAGUUUCAUGUUGAAG